Amphibalanus amphitrite is the source of this 1260-nucleotide long non-coding RNA. RefSeq lists it as uncharacterized. The record is from RefSeq and is a predicted model, not a curated record. NCBI's taxonomy places the organism in Eukaryota, Metazoa, Arthropoda, Thecostraca, Balanomorpha, Balanidae. The transcript has 4 exons.
CAACAAUGGCGCAUAUUUUAUGACCGUGAUUGCAAUCCAAAUUUGCAUUUGAGCUCAGCAGUCGAGUGUGGUGCCAAAAAUACCAGAAGCGAUGUCCUAUAUACGGCCUUGACCAGAAGUGUUGCAUGCCCUGGAUGCAGAAAAACAAGAUUGAGAUGAGUGGAUCAAGAUGUAUCUUUCGUGCAGAUGUAUCAAGAUCCUUUCACUUAAGAUCCAUGCAGGCGCAAGCUUUGGAUGAACUUCUGCUUCUGCAGUCGGCAUUCUUACAGGAGAACCCAAGAUUCAUUGUACCUACCUGUAUGCAUUUCAAAACUGAAUAAUUGAUAGCAACAAGUAAAUAUUUGAAGUUGCAGCCAAAUGCUGUGCCUUCUCUGCUGCAAGAGCUACAUGUCACCAUUGAAGCAAGGACCAGCUCGACUCCUGCAGUAGGAGUCCAGCCUCGUCCAGUCGUCGCCGCUCGCCAAGACCAGCCGGACUCCUGCAAUAGGGGUCCAGGCUGACCCGUUCGUCCAGUAACCGCCGCUCGUCAGCACCAGCUGGGCUCCUGUAGUAGGGGUCCAGCCUCGUCCAGUCGCCGCCGCUCGCCAAGACCAGCUGGGCUCCUGUAGUAUGGGGCUAGGAUGGCCCGUUCAUCAACCGGUCCUGAAGUCACAUCGCCGUCAGCCAGCCGAACUCAGUACAUAAGUCACCAACCCUGAAUGUUGCCAGCCAAAGUCGGCAGUUUCCUUCGGACAGUCAUCUCACCAGUGUUGUACAGUGUACGAGGUUAGUGACGCAGUUAAAUGCGUCAAUUAAAUGCGAGGACGUGCGCUUGUAUGCAGCGUUUUGUCAUGUUGAGCUGCAUGGGUGUCGAUUUUCACCGAAUUGAGGGUGCCCACUGCCCGGGCGCAGCAAAUCCGCCGCUGCCUUAGCGGUGACCUUGAGUCUUGACCCGCACCGUCUGUUGGGGCUCCAAAGCCAAGCCAGCCGAGCCGGCGGGGAAUCUAAAGAGCUUGAGCACCCCCAACCCGGCGGAAAUUGACACCUAUGUUGAGCUGUAUGGAUGCGUUUUAGCCUUCCGCCGUGGUGGUAAAUAGCAGCCUACAUGCAGAAUUAGGCAGGCUUAUUAGCGGACUCGUUAUUGGAUUCAUUGUGUCACGUUUGUCGGCACGUGUAAGAUGUGCUUAACUGCCAUUAGCUCUCGGUCUGGCGACUUCUGGGGACCACGUAAUGGGGAUGACAAUUGGGAUCCUGUGCCUUAAGCCGGCCAUUUACGUCCAU